GACGAACGCUGGCGGCGUGCUUAACACAUGCAAGUCGAACGGAAAGGCCCUGCUUUUGUGGGGUGCUCGAGUGGCGAACGGGUGAGUAACACGUGAGUAACCUGCCCUUGACUUUGGGAUAACUUCAGGAAACUGGGGCUAAUACCGGAUAGGAGCUCCUGCUGCAUGGUGGGGGUUGGAAAGUUUCGGCGGUUGGGGAUGGACUCGCGGCUUAUCAGCUUGUUGGUGGGGUAGUGGCUUACCAAGGCUUUGAGGGGUAGCCGGCCGGAGAGGGUGACCGGCGAAACGGGAAGGGAGAGAGGGGCCAGACGAAUAAGGGAGGCAGCAGGAGGGAAUCGGCCGCAAGGGGCGAGAGCGUGACGGAGAAGCGUGGGGUGAGUGAUGAAGGGGCGCGGAGCGGAAAAAGCGGGGAGGAGGGAAGAACAAAUGGGGAAGUAAAUGUGCAGGUAGGGACGGUAAAUAAUAAGAAAGACACGGCUAACUAAGGG
This 488-nucleotide ribosomal RNA is filed under the name uncultured bacterium. RNAcentral describes it as "partial 16S ribosomal RNA". The stretch from base 16 to 370 matches the Rfam family "Bacterial small subunit ribosomal RNA", at positions 43 to 396 of the family's 1533-position model. The record is from RNAcentral.